AUGCAAGUCGAGCGGUAGCACAGGAGAGCUUGCUCUCUGGGUGACGAGCGGCGGACGGGUGAGUAAUGUCUGGGAAACUGCCUGAUGGAGGGGGAUAACUACUGGAAACGGUAGCUAAUACCGCAUAACGUCGCAAGACCAAAGAGGGGGACCUUCGGGCCUCUUGCCAUCAGAUGUGCCCAGAUGGGAUUAGCUAGUAGGUGGGGUAAUGGCUCACCUAGGCGACGAUCCCUAGCUGGUCUGAGAGGAUGACCAGCCACACUGGAACUGAGACACGGUCCAGACUCCUACGGGAGGCAGCAGUGGGGAAUAUUGCACAAUGGGCGCAAGCCUGAUGCAGCCAUGCCGCGUGUGUGAAGAAGGCCUUCGGGUUGUAAAGCACUUUCAGCGAGGAGGAAGGUGGUGAGCUUAAUACGCUCAUCAAUUGACGUUACUCGCAGAAGAAGCACCGGCUAACUCCGUGCCAGCAGCCGCGGUAAUACGGAGGGUGCAAGCGUUAAUCGGAAUUACUGGGCGUAAAGCGCACGCAGGCGGUUUGUUAAGUCAGAUGUGAAAUCCCCGGGCUCAACCUGGGAACUGCAUUUGAAACUGGCAAGCUAGAGUCUCGUAGAGGGGGGUAGAAUUCCAGGUGUAGCGGUGA
Molecule: ribosomal RNA, 640 nt
Filed under: Serratia sp. SCAU18
Lineage: Bacteria; Pseudomonadati; Pseudomonadota; Gammaproteobacteria; Enterobacterales; Yersiniaceae
Description: bacterial SSU rRNA
Rfam family: Bacterial small subunit ribosomal RNA
Source: RNAcentral